Molecule: long non-coding RNA, 1059 nt
Filed under: Bos indicus x Bos taurus (hybrid cattle)
Lineage: Eukaryota; Metazoa; Chordata; Mammalia; Artiodactyla; Bovidae
Description: lncRNA (ENSBIXG00000023261.1)
Source: RNAcentral
AGUUUGAGCAUUCUUUGGCAUUGCCUUUCUUUGGAAUUAACUAAGGUCAAAUUGGAAGCCUUAAUUGUCCCUAGUCCAGUUGUACAAAAAUUGUAAAAUUUUGGGUGGUGGGAAACACUAAAUAUCAUUUGUAUAUGUGGCCAAGAAUGAACAACUUCUGAAUAACUAGCAAAUAAAUAAUCAGUAGCUGUAGAGGUGCUGCAAAGCAACAUUAUGAUCAAAAACACAAAUUAAGAUGCUUCCCAGGUGAUGCAGUGGUAAAGAAUCCUCUUGCCAAUGCAGAAGACAUGUGUUUGAUUCCUGGGUUGGAAUAACCCCCUGGAGGAGGAAAUGGCUACCCACUCUAGUAUUCUUGCCUGGAAAAUUCCAUGGACAGAGGAGCCUGGUGGGCUACAGUUCCUGGCUUCACAAAGAGUCGGACACGAUUGAGAAUGCAGAUACACACAUACCAACUGAGUUAUAUGAAAAUCAGUGAAAAUCUCUCCUCAUUGACUUCUACUCACUGAGGACACAGAUGAUCACUUGUAUAUGUAAGGUAAUAUUGAAAGAAGACACAGGAAAUUCUGAUAAAUCUACCUUCAAGUGGGAAAUGACAAUACUCGAUAUCCGUUCAGGACCUGAACUAAUGUUCUCUAGCCCUAGAUUAAUAAUGUGUACAAGAAAAGUGAAAAAAACCUUGCAACAAGUUUUACACUUUGCCAGAGCUUUCUGAUUAAGUUAAUUUGUCACCACAAUAUGUUAAAAGGACUUAUUCCUUGUAUUUACCUUUUGCUGGUCUUGAUCAGCCGCUGCUUCUGCAGUUGGAGAACUCAGCUCCUGUUGAAGCUGGCUAAAGCUGAAUUAGAAUGAAAUGCAUGGGGUAAUGGAAAAAGAGCAACUCUGCCCUUUCAGGUGAGCUACAGAUGUGCCCCCCCGAAACAGAGCAGGACCCUAUGGUCCUUACCCACCUUCCCCCCCAUGUCCUCUGCCUGCCUUUUGUCUGUGGAAAACUUAGUCAAAGUAUAAGUUUAAUCAGAGAAGUGAGAAAUGUGGAAACAAAGGAAAACAGUCAAAUGAGAC